AAAUUGUGCGGUUAACGGUCAAAGCCCCCCUGCCUACUUUGACACUCAUUUAAAGAUGACAGGGAACAAUAGAGAUUUGUUCUGUGCAACCCUUUCUUGUUAUGCCGGCGACAUCAGCUCCGCACAUGAAACUGCCCGAUAUUUCAUUCCACCUGCCACCUCCCUCCCGCCUCGGUCGACUCUCUCCUCUGCUACUUUGCUUGUCCCCACUUUAACACAAAGAGACAGAGACAAGAGAUUUCACUGUGUUAACCAGGAUGGUCUCGAUCUCCUGACUUCGUGAUCCACCCGCCUCAGCCUCCCAAAGUGCUGGGAUUACAGGCUUGAGCCACUAUGCCUGGCUUUAGGCUGGGAUUUUUAUAGCUUAUUAUGGCAAGGGAGGAGACAGAGAAUAAAAGAAGAGGAAAGAGCAUACACGGUCACCCCUUGUGUGACAAAUAUGCAAGAAAUAAAGAUAAAUGUGUACAAUUCUUACAAUUUUACUUUUCUGAAUUUUGCUAUUGCACUGAAUGAUUUGUGAUUAAGACAGAUGUUGAUGAAAAAUAUACUUAUUAGAUAAACAGCUAUUAAAAGCCCCUAAAG
RNAcentral lists this long non-coding RNA (582 nucleotides) under Pongo abelii (Sumatran orangutan). RNAcentral describes it as "lincRNA". Lineage: Eukaryota; Metazoa; Chordata; Mammalia; Primates; Hominidae. The record is from RNAcentral.